This 449-nucleotide ribosomal RNA is filed under the name uncultured bacterium. RNAcentral describes it as "partial 16S ribosomal RNA". It matches the Rfam family "Bacterial small subunit ribosomal RNA", at positions 354 to 796 of the family's 1533-position model. The record is from RNAcentral.
GUCGAGAAUCUUUCACAAUGGGGGCAACCCUGAUGGAGCGACGCCGCGUGGAGGAUAAGGUCUUCGGAUUGUAAACUCCUGUCAUGCGUGAACAAGGUUGCUUGGUUAAUACCUGGGCAAAUUGAUGGUAACGCAAGAGGAAGCGACGGCUAACUCUGUGCCAGCAGCCGCGGUAAUACAGAGGUCUCAAGCGUUGUUCGGAAUCACUGGGCGUAAAGGGUGCGUAGGUGGCGUGGUAAGUCAGAUGUGAAAGCCCGGGGCUCAACCUCGGAACUGCAUCCGAUACUGCCAUGCUAGAGUACUGGAGAGGUGACUAGAAUUCUCGGUGUAGCAGUGAAAUGCGUAGAUAUCGAGAGGAAUACCAAAGGCGUAGGCAGGUCACUGGACAGUUACUGACACUGAGGCACGAAGGCCAGGGGAGCGAACGGGAUUAGAAACCCGAGUAGUCC